UGGUGUAAAAGUCAACUUCUUUCCAAAACUUUCUUUUAAGAACCUGAAAGCUAUAGCUCUGAUCCAGGACCAUCACACUGUACAUUACAAUCUGACUCACCCAGUCAUCUCAGGCAUUCAUUGCUCAUUACAUUCCUUAAUGGAAGAGUAUUGACAAUAUGCACUCAGAGUUCUUAACAACCCAUUAGGAUUCAAAAUGUCAGUGUGAGAUCAGCGUUAAGUAACAAAUACUUCACUUUCUCUGAUGGAGCUCACAUGAUUCACAUUAAAGUCAACACAAACAAUACAAAAGUUUUAACAUCCAUGACAAUUUGUUUCUCGCUCACUGACUUGAGAGCUGCUGACCGGCAUUGUGCUCCGUGCUGCCCCUGGCGGUUUGGAAGCUAUACUGCUGGGAGAGAGUCCAUGGCUGAAGAAAGACGCUGAAGACCAUCACUGAACAGAAACAGGGUUUACCUACAAUCUCCACAACCUGUUAUCACGUGAGGUUCUACACUUACCUUACAUGAUGACAACUGAGCUGUCUCCAUGACAACGGACCAAACUCCUAAUGAAGAUGAGAUGUGGUCAAAAGCUCCAGAAAAAAAAAACAGCAGUAAAGUGGUUCUUGAGUUGAGAUGAUGUAGUCCAACGAAACUGAGUGUUUCUGUUCAGAGACACUGUGGAGAACAGCCUCGGGCCUUUUUCGUUAUGUGAGGCCAGACAUUGACCUGGAUUUCACAUUGGGAUCUUAUUUGAAAAAAACAUAAUUAUUUACAAUACUUUAAAAUCCAUUAUAUAAAAGGAGGGGAUAUUGAGGGUGAAGGGAGCAACGGGGGCGAAUGCAGGCCCGGCAAGAGAAGUUGAAUAUGGGUUAAGGACCUCUUGGGCAGCAUCUCUUGAACAAAGGUUAAACAGCGUGACCACAAGGCAGGCAGAGGGCCUGCUCAAGAGUGAAGCUUGUGUGAGACAGAACUGCAUCAAAACGUCCCAAAUUGUCCCAGUCACCUGCAUUUCCCUCCUCACUCGCAGGCAAUGCCUGUUUGAAGUGGCUGCCAGACCAGACCAUAAACUGUGCUGAGGGAGAGGAGGGCAGGGGAAGUAGAGUCCAGCUGAGUAUAUAUCAGUGAAGCCUACAACCAGCUGCAGAGCAUAGGAAGAGCAGAGUGAAUCUGAUCUGACGGAUCUGUGAAUAAGAUGGGAUUUCUUAACAUAGAAGUCCAAAGGGAACAAAUGGGAACAUGUACAUGUGAAAUUCCAGUGACUCAUCAGCACCCGAAAUACCGUGUCUAUUUUUGAACACCUGGCUAUGAAUAAAGACAGUGUGUUGUUUCUUGAUAUUUCCUGUGAUUCGAGAGGAAACAAAUGUGUAUAAUAAAAGAAAAGCUUGCUUUAGA
This is a long non-coding RNA of Seriola aureovittata, 1376 nucleotides long. RefSeq lists it as uncharacterized. The record is from RefSeq and is a predicted model, not a curated record. The transcript has 2 exons. NCBI's taxonomy places the organism in Eukaryota, Metazoa, Chordata, Actinopteri, Carangiformes, Carangidae.